UACGUAGGGGGCAAGCGUUGUCCGGAAUCAUUGGGCGUAAAGCGCGCGUAGGCGGCCCGGUAAGUCCGCUGUAAAAAGUCCAGGGCUCAACCCUGGAAAGCCGGUGGAUACUGUCGGGCUAGAGUCCGGAAGAGGCGAGUGGAAUUCCUGGUGUAGCGGUGGAAUGCGCAGAUAUCAGGAGGAACACCGAUGGCGAAGGCAGC
RNAcentral lists this ribosomal RNA (203 nucleotides) under uncultured bacterium. Its description in RNAcentral is "partial 16S ribosomal RNA". It matches the Rfam family "Bacterial small subunit ribosomal RNA", at positions 524 to 725 of the family's 1533-position model. The record is from RNAcentral.